UCCCUGGUGGCUCAGAUGGUAAAGUGUCUGCCUACAAUGCAGGAGACCCAGAUUCAAUCCCUGGGUUGGGAA
This 72-nucleotide transfer RNA is filed under the name Bos taurus (domestic cattle). It matches the Rfam family "tRNA". Rfam says of the family: Transfer RNA (tRNA) molecules are approximately 80 nucleotides in length. RNAcentral also lists the same sequence under 2 other names. The record is from Rfam by way of RNAcentral. Lineage: Eukaryota; Metazoa; Chordata; Mammalia; Artiodactyla; Bovidae.